Molecule: ribosomal RNA, 305 nt
Filed under: uncultured bacterium
Lineage: Bacteria
Description: bacterial SSU rRNA
Rfam family: Bacterial small subunit ribosomal RNA
Source: RNAcentral
GUCCUACGGGACGCAGCAGUGAGGAAUAUUGGUCAAUGGGCUUACGCCUGAACCAGCCAAGUCGCGUGAGGGAAGACUGCCCUAUGGGUUGUAAACCUCUUUUGUCAGGGAGCAAUUGGCGCUACGUGUAGCGUUAUCGAGAGUACCUGAAGAAAAAGCAUCGGCUAACUCCGUGCCAGCAGCCGCGGUAAUACGGAGGAUGCGAGCGUUAUCCGGAUUUAUUGGGUUUAAAGGGUGCGUAGGCGGACUGGAAAGUCAGCGAUAAAAUCGAGAGGCUCAACCUCUUUCCGCCGUUGAAACUGUCG